GGCGAACGGGUGAGUAACACGUGAGUAACCUGCCCUUAACUCUGGGAUAAGCCUGGGAAACUGGGUCUAAUACCGGAUAUGACUCCUCAUCGCAUGGUGGGGGGUGGAAAGCUUUAUUGUGGUUUUGGAUGGACUCGCGGCCUAUCAGCUUGUUGGUGAGGUAAUGGCUCACCAAGGCGACGACGGGUAGCCGGCCUGAGAGGGUGACCGGCCACACUGGGACUGAGACACGGCCCAGACUCCUACGGGAGGCAGCAGUGGGGAAUAUUGCACAAUGGGCGCAAGCCUGAUGCAGCGACGCCGCGUGAGGGAUGACGGCCUUCGGGUUGUAAACCUCUUUCAGUAGGGAAGAAGCGAAAGUGACGGUACCUGCAGAAGAAGCGCCGGCUAACUACGUGCCAGCAGCCGCGGUAAUACGUAGGGCGCAAGCGUUAUCCGGAAUUAUUGGGCGUAAAGAGCUCGUAGGCGGUUUGUCGCGUCU
RNAcentral lists this ribosomal RNA (481 nucleotides) under Arthrobacter pascens. Its description in RNAcentral is "bacterial SSU rRNA". It matches the Rfam family "Bacterial small subunit ribosomal RNA", at positions 97 to 590 of the family's 1533-position model. Lineage: Bacteria; Bacillati; Actinomycetota; Actinomycetes; Micrococcales; Micrococcaceae. The record is from RNAcentral.